Pelobates cultripes (western spadefoot toad) is the source of this 204-nucleotide non-coding RNA. Lineage: Eukaryota; Metazoa; Chordata; Amphibia; Anura; Pelobatidae. The record is from the annotation of a GenBank genome assembly.
GUUCACAAGAACGAAGGAAUAUAAAUCAAUGAGAGAAACCAGAAUGUAAAAAGAAACUAGAAAUAAAGAUUGAAGGGAGAUGUGGAGAAAAUGCAGCAACAUUGAUUAUUCCCAGGGCAGUAAAAAUCUGUGCACAGCACUGGUUACAAGCAUGCGCUGGGUUAGUAGUUUUUGUAAAUACCAUGCAAAUCACCUAGUUUUGAC